RNAcentral lists this unclassified non-coding RNA (205 nucleotides) under uncultured Entolomataceae. RNAcentral describes it as "sequence contains ITS2". Lineage: Eukaryota; Fungi; Basidiomycota; Agaricomycetes; Agaricales; Entolomataceae. The record is from RNAcentral.
AAUUCUCAACCUCUCUAAGCUUGGCUUUAGUGAGGCUUGGACUUUUGGAGGUUGCUGGAUUCUGAAUUCAGCUCCCCUGAAAUAUAUUAGCACGACCUUGGCUGAUGUAUCUUUGGUAUGAUAAUUAUCUAUACCAUAGAGAUUCAGUUCCUCUAUAUAGUGGAAAGUCGGCUUCUAAUCGUCUAAUCAGACAACAUCGAAAUAU